AACGAACGCUGGCGGCAUGCCUAACACAUGCAAGUCGAACGAGACCUUCGGGUCUAGUGGCGCACGGGUGCGUAACGCGUGGGAAGCUGCACUUAGGUUCGGAAUACCUCCCCGUAAGGGGUGCUAAUACCGGAUAAUGUCUUCGGACCAAAGAUUUAUCGCCUUUGGUUGGGCCCGCGUUGGAUUAGCUGGUUGGUAGGGUAAAAGCCUAUCAAGGAGACGUUCCAUAGCUGGUCUGAGAGAAUGGUCAGCAACACUGGGGCUGAGACACGGGCCAGACUCCUACGGGAGGCAGCAGUGGGGAAUAUUGGACUAUGGACGGAGGCCUGAUCCAGCAAUGCCGGGUAAGUGAUGAAGGCCGUAGGGUUGUAAAGCUCUUUUACCCGGGGUGAUAAUGACGGUACCGGGAGAAUAAGCACCGGCUAACUCCGUG
This 433-nucleotide ribosomal RNA is filed under the name uncultured bacterium. Its description in RNAcentral is "partial 16S ribosomal RNA". It matches the Rfam family "Bacterial small subunit ribosomal RNA", at positions 29 to 507 of the family's 1533-position model. The record is from RNAcentral.